RNAcentral lists this ribosomal RNA (910 nucleotides) under uncultured bacterium. RNAcentral describes it as "bacterial SSU rRNA". It matches the Rfam family "Bacterial small subunit ribosomal RNA", at positions 33 to 909 of the family's 1533-position model. The record is from RNAcentral.
ACGCUGGCGGCGUGCUUAACACAUGCAAGUCGAACGAAAAGAGGGAAAGAGCUUGCUCUUUCCGGAAUUGAGUGGCAAACGGGUGAGUAACACGUAAACAACCUGCCUUCAGGAUGGGGACAACAGACGGAAACGACUGCUAAUACCGAAUAAGUUCCAAGAGCCGCAUGGCCCAUGGAAGAAAAGGUGGCCUCUACCUGUAAGCUAUCGCCUGAAGAGGGGUUUGCGUCUGAUUAGCUGGUUGGAGGGGUAACGGCCCACCAAGGCGACGAUCAGUAGCCGGUCUGAGAGGAUGAACGGCCACACUGGAACUGAGACACGGUCCAGACUCCUACGGGAGGCAGCAGUGGGGAAUCUUCCGCAAUGGGCGAAAGCCUGACGGAGCAACGCCGCGUGAGUGAUGACGGCCUUCGGGUUGUAAAACUCUGUGAUCCGGGACGAAAAGGCAGAGUGCGAAGAACAAACUGCAUUGACGGUACCGGAAAAGCAAGCCACGGCUAACUACGUGCCAGCAGCCGCGGUAAUACGUAGGUGGCAAGCGUUGUCCGGAAUUAUUGGGCGUAAAGCGCGCGCAGGCGGCUUCCCAAGUCCCUCUUAAAAGUGCGGGGCUUAACCCCGUGAUGGGAAGGAAACUGGGAAGCUGGAGUAUCGGAGAGGAAAGUGGAAUUCCUAGUGUAGCGGUGAAAUGCGUAGAGAUUAGGAAGAACACCGGUGGCGAAGGCGACUUUCUGGACGAAAACUGACGCUGAGGCGCGAAAGCGUGGGGAGCAAACAGGAUUAGAUACCCUGGUAGUCCACGCCGUAAACGAUGGAUACUAGGUGUAGGAGGUAUCGACCCCUCCUGUGCCGGAGUUAACGCAAUAAGUAUCCCGCCUGGGAAGUACGAUCGCAAGAUUAAAACUCAAAGGAA